Molecule: ribosomal RNA, 497 nt
Filed under: uncultured bacterium
Lineage: Bacteria
Description: partial 16S ribosomal RNA
Rfam family: Bacterial small subunit ribosomal RNA
Source: RNAcentral
GAUGAACGCUGGCGGCGUGCCUAAUACAUGCAAGUCGAGCGAACGGACGAGAAGCUUGCUCCUCUGAUGUUAGCGGCGGACGGGUGAGUAACACGUGGAUAACCUACCUAUAAGACUGGGAUAACUUCGGGAAACCGGAGCUAAUACCGGAUAAUAUUUUGAACCGCAUGGUUCAAAAGUGAAAGACGGUCUUGCUGUCACUUAUAGAUGGAUCCGCGCUGCAUUAGCUAGUUGGUAAGGUAACGGCUUACCAAGGCAACGAUGCGUAGCCGACCUGAGAGGGUGAUCGGCCACACUGGAACUGAGACACGGUCCAGACUCCUACGGGAGGCAGCAGUAGGGAAUCUUCCGCAAUGGGCGAAAGCCUGACGGAGCAACGCCGCGUGAGUGAUGAAGGUCUUCGGAUCGUAAAACUCUGUUAUUAGGGAAGAACAUAUGUGUAAGUAACUGUGCACAUCUUGACGGUACCUAAUCAGAAAGCCACGGCUAACUACGUG